This 871-nucleotide ribosomal RNA is filed under the name Dendrostoma leiphaemia. Its description in RNAcentral is "partial large subunit ribosomal RNA". It matches the Rfam family "Eukaryotic large subunit ribosomal RNA", at positions 38 to 939 of the family's 3401-position model. The record is from RNAcentral. Lineage: Eukaryota; Fungi; Ascomycota; Sordariomycetes; Diaporthales; Erythrogloeaceae.
GCAUAUCAAUAAGCGGAGGAAAAGAAACCAACAGGGAUUGCCCUAGUAACGGCGAGUGAAGCGGCAACAGCUCAAAUUUGAAAUCUGGCCUCGGCCCGAGUUGUAAUUUGCAGAGGAUGUUUCUGGCGCGGUGCCUUCCGAGUUCCCUGGAACGGGACGCCACAGAGGGUGAGAGCCCCGUAUGGUUGGACACCAAGCCUGUGUGAAACUCCUUCGACGAGUCGAGUAGUUUGGGAAUGCUGCUCAAAAUGGGAGGUAAAUCUCUUCUAAAGCUAAAUACCGGCCAGAGACCGAUAGCGCACAAGUAGAGUGAUCGAAAGAUGAAAAGCACCUUGAAAAGGGGGUUAAACAGUACGUGAAAUUGUUGAAAGGGAAGCACUUGUGACCAGACUUGUGCCGGGCGGUUCAUCCGGGGUUCUCCCCGGUGCACUCCGCCCGGUAUAGGCCAGCAUCGGUUCUUUCUGGGGGAUAAGAACGGUGGGAACGUGGCCCUCCCUCGGGAGGGUGUUAUAGCCCGCCGUACGAUACCCUGGAGGGGACCGAGGUUCGCGCUCCGCAAGGAUGCUGGCGUAAUGGUCACCAGUGACCCGUCUUGAAACACGGACCAAGGAGUCGUCCAUUAGAGCGAGCGUUUGGGUGUCAAACCCGCACGCGUAAUGAAAGUGAAAUUAGGUGAGAGCUUCGGCGCAUCAUCGACCGAUCCUGAUGUUCUCGGAUGGAUUUGAGUAAGAGUUUUAACGGACGGACCCGAAAGACAGUGAACUAUGCUUGUAUAGGGUGAAGCCAGAGGAAACUCUGGUGGAGGCUCGCAGCGGUUCUGACGUGCAAAUCGAUCGUCAAAUAUGAGCAUGGGGGCGAAAGACUAAUCGAA